RNAcentral lists this ribosomal RNA (395 nucleotides) under uncultured bacterium. RNAcentral describes it as "bacterial SSU rRNA". It matches the Rfam family "Bacterial small subunit ribosomal RNA", at positions 28 to 415 of the family's 1533-position model. The record is from RNAcentral.
GAUGAACGCUAGCGGCAGGCUUAACACAUGCAAGUCGAGGGGCAGCAUAAACAUUGCUUGCAAUGUUUGAUGGCGACCGGCGCACGGGUGCGUAACGCGUAUGUAACCUACCUCAAACAGGGGCAUAACACUGAGAAAUUGGUACUAAUUCCCCAUAACACUUUGGGAGGCAUCUCCUGGAGUUGAAAGUUCCGGCGGUUUGAGAUGGACAUGCGUUGUAUUAGCUAGUUGGUGAGGUAACGGCUCACCAAGGCGACGAUACAUAGGGGGACUGAGAGGUUAACCCCCCANAUUGGUACUGAGACACGGACCAAACUCCUACGGGAGGCAGCAGUGAGGAAUAUUGGUCAAUGGACGCAAGUCUGAACCAGCCAUGCCGCGUGCAGGAUGACGCU